Molecule: long non-coding RNA, 902 nt
Filed under: Naja naja (Indian cobra)
Lineage: Eukaryota; Metazoa; Chordata; Lepidosauria; Squamata; Elapidae
Description: lncRNA (ENSNNAG00000012785.1)
Source: RNAcentral
AUGGAACUUGUAGUGCAGGGAUGCGGGGUACAGCUGCCACAGGAGAAGAAACUGUGUGCUUGGACUUCCCACCUCCUUUUUCUCCCCACUUUCUCCGAGGUACAUGCUUCUCCUGAGAUUCUCUCCCCACAGCCAGUGCUCAUCCAAGGCAGCCAACACUCUUGAGAGCACCCACACUGCAGUAAUGCCAGAGCUUGCCUGUGUGGGGAGCCAUCCCAAGUCCAAGUGGCUGCCAGCUCCAGGUUGCCACGCACUAAUUCAGUCAUUAAUUGAAGCUCUCCAGCCUUUCGGGUAUGCUCCUUUCUCCCCAUGGCUUCAGCCUCAGAAGGAUUGCGGUAGCCUGCCGGGUGGGUGAUUCUUUGCUGCUCACUUUGCCUCCAAGUCACUCACCCAUUAGGCUUUGCUCGUCCUGGCGAAGAAGCGGAAGAAGGCUUAUGAUGUAAUGGGUGGCCAAGGGAAGGAGCUCUCCUCCUGGUCAGCCAUCAAAGAAAGUGCCAUCUCCCCACCUUGGAAGGCCAGGCAUGCGAGCAGCCUGGGGGUGAAGCGAGAGACCGGGAGGAUACUAACUAUGCCACCAACUUUUCCACCAUCUGCAAAUUUCAUUAAUGAUCUGCAAGUCAUUAAUGAAAAGGAUGAAGAGAAUAAUACCCAAGCUGACCCUUCAAUAGUAUUUCCGGAAGAACAGAACGUAUCGUUGACUAACAGACCAGUGAAGAAGCUGGAGAUGAAGACAAGUACGGCAUCUUUCAGAAGCAAGUAAAUUCAAAGCCAGAAAUAAAGCAGAGAAUAACACAAAAACACAUAUUUGAACACAGGUUUUGGUGACUCAGCCCCAAGCAGGAACUUUUUCAAAAGGAGUCAAAGGAAAGUAAUAUUAAGAUCAUUAGUGCAAACAGUUUGAG